RNAcentral lists this ribosomal RNA (483 nucleotides) under uncultured bacterium. Its description in RNAcentral is "bacterial SSU rRNA". It matches the Rfam family "Bacterial small subunit ribosomal RNA", at positions 39 to 526 of the family's 1533-position model. The record is from RNAcentral.
CAGCCGCGGUAAAACAUGCAAGUCGAGGGGUAAGGUAGCAAUAUCUGAGACCGGCGCACGGGUGCGUAACGCGUAUGCAAUCUACCUUUUACAGAGGGAUAGCCCAGAGAAAUUUGGAUUAAUACCUCAUAGCAUUGCGAAAUGGCAUCAUUUUGCAAUUAAAGUUCCAACGGUAAAAGCUGAGCAUGCGUCCUAUUAGCUAGAUGGUAAGGUAACGGCUUACCAUGGCUACGAUAGGUAGGGGUCCUGAGAGGGAGAUCCCCCACACUGGUACUGAGACACGGACCAGACUCCUACGGGAGGCAGCAGUGAGGAAUAUUGGACAAUGGGCGCAAGCCUGAUCCAGCCAUGCCGCGUGCAGGAAGACGCAUCUAUGGUGUGUAAACUGCUUUUGUACGGGAAGAAACACUCCUACGUGUAGGAGCUUGACGGUACCGUAAGAAUAAGGAUCGGCUAACUCCGUGCCAGCAGCCGCUGUAACAC